GGAAUUUUGGACAAUGGGCGCAAGCCUGAUCCAGCAAUGCCGCGUGCAGGAAGAAGGCCUUCGGGUUGUAAACUGCUUUUGUCAGGGAAGAAAUCUUCUGGGUUAAUACCUCGGGAGGAUGACGGUACCUGAAGAAUAAGCACCGGCUAACUACGUGCCAGCAGCCGCGGUAAUGCGUAGGGUGCGAGCGUUAAUCGGAAUUACUGGGCGUAAAGCGUGCGCAGGCGGCUUUGCAAGACAGAUGUGAAAUCCCCGGGCUCAACCUGGGAACUGCAUUUGUGACUGCAAGGCUAGAGUACGGCAGAGGGGGAUGGAAUUCCGCGUGUAGCAGUGAAAUGCGUAGAUAUGCGGAGGAACACCGAUGGCGAAGGCAAUCCCCUGGGCCUGUACUGACGCUCAUGCACGAAAGCGUGGGGAGCAAAC
RNAcentral lists this ribosomal RNA (423 nucleotides) under uncultured bacterium. RNAcentral's name for it is "bacterial SSU rRNA". It matches the Rfam family "Bacterial small subunit ribosomal RNA", at positions 358 to 773 of the family's 1533-position model. The record is from RNAcentral.